GACGGAGGAUGCAAGUGUUAUCCGGAAUCACUGGGCGUAAAGCGUCUGUAGGUGGUUUAAUAAGUCAACUGUUAAAUCUUGAGGCUCAACCUCAAAAUCGCAGUCGAAACUAUUAGGCUAGAGUAUAGUAGGGGUAAAGGGAAUUUCCAGUGGAGCGGUGAAAGUGCGUAGAGAUUGGAAAGAACACCGAUGGCGAAGGCGACUUUACUGGGCUAUACUAACACUCAGAGACGAAAGCUAGGGUAGCAAAUGGG
This 254-nucleotide ribosomal RNA is filed under the name uncultured bacterium. Its description in RNAcentral is "partial 16S ribosomal RNA". It matches the Rfam family "Bacterial small subunit ribosomal RNA", at positions 524 to 776 of the family's 1533-position model. The record is from RNAcentral.